Molecule: long non-coding RNA, 539 nt
Organism: Meriones unguiculatus (Mongolian gerbil)
Lineage: Eukaryota; Metazoa; Chordata; Mammalia; Rodentia; Muridae
Exons: 2
Source: RefSeq, a predicted model, not a curated record
CUCUUGGGUAACAACUCAAUUAUAAGUAACUCAUUGUAAACACUGAAAGUUUCAUUUGGUCGUGAGAGAUGUCUAUUUGUCUCUCUGUAUGAGUGUGUGUUUGUGUGUGUAUCUGUGUGUAGAUAUGUAUGUAUGUAUGGAAGAAAGCAUGAAGAAUGUAUGCAUGAAAGCAUUGACUAUAUUAGGCUUCCAUAUGACUUGUCAAGAGGACCUUAUUUUUAGCUGGCUCUCCUAGUCUUCCCUUCCUUACCCCUUUUCUCCUUUUUUUGUUGCAUCCUCCCAUUUCAGCCCUGCCCAUCUCUGUAGAAGUGAUUGGUAUACCAUGGUUCUGGGAAGACAUUUCAGAUCAAAAUCUUUUAUUAUCAAGAAAACUCAAGAAAUAAAUAUUCAUACUUAUGUUUAUUUACAAUUUUAAGCUUGGAAGUCAAGACCUUGAACAUGUUUGGAAGUGCUGGACCACUAAACAACACCCCCAGGCAUGUGUCAUUCUUUAUUCUGAAGAUAUAUGCUGGUAUUCAUUAGUUUUCAACUCACAGUAG